Molecule: ribosomal RNA, 292 nt
Filed under: uncultured bacterium
Lineage: Bacteria
Description: partial 16S ribosomal RNA
Rfam family: Bacterial small subunit ribosomal RNA
Source: RNAcentral
GUGCCAGCAGCCGCGGUAAUACGGGGGGGGCAAGCGUUGUUCGGAAUUACUGGGCGUAAAGGGUCUGUAGGUGGCCAACUAAGUCAGACGUGAAAUCCCUCAGCUUAACUGGGGAACUGCGUCUGAUACUGGUUGGCUUGAGUGCAGGAGAGGAAUGCGGAAUUCCAGGUGUAGCGGUGAAAUGCGUAGAUAUCUGGAGGAACACCGGUGGCGAAGGCGGCAUUCUGGACUGCAACUGACACUGAAAGACGAAAGCCAGGGGAGCAAACGGGAUUAGAUACCCUCGUAGUCC